GAUGAACGCUGGCGGCGUGCCUAACACAUGCAAGUCGAGCGAUUCUCUUCGGAGAAGAGCGGCGGACGGGUGAGUAACGCGUGGGUAACCUACCCUGUACACACGGAUAACAUACCGAAAGGUAUGCUAAUACGAGAUAAUAUGCUUUUAUCGCAUGGUAGAAGUAUCAAAGCUCCGGCGGUACAGGAUGGACCCGCGUCUGAUUAGCUAGUUGGUAAGGUAACGGCUUACCAAGGCGACGAUCAGUAGCCGACCUGAGAGGGUGAUCGGCCACAUUGGAACUGAGACACGGUCCAAACUCCUACGGGAGGCAGCAGUGGGGAAUAUUGCACAAUGGGCGAAAGCCUGAUGCAGCAACGCCGCGUGAGCGAUGAAGGCCUUCGGGUCGUAAAGCUCUGUCCUCAAGGAAGAUAAUGACGGUACUUGAGGAGGAAGCCCCGGCUAACUACGUGCCAGCAGCCGCGGUAAUACGUAGGGGGCUAGCGUUAUCCGGAAUUACUGGGCGUAAAGGGUGCGUAGGUGGUUUCUUAAGUCAGAGGUGAAAGGCUACGGCUCAACCGUAGUAAGCCUUUGAAACUGGGAAACUUGAGUGCAGGAGAGGAGAGUGGAAUUCCUAGUGUAGCGGUGAAAUGCGUAGAUAUUAGGAGGAACACCAGUUGCGAAGGCGGCUCUCUGGACUGUAACUGACACUGAGGCACGAAAGCGUGGGG
This 710-nucleotide ribosomal RNA is filed under the name uncultured Clostridium sp. Its description in RNAcentral is "bacterial SSU rRNA". It matches the Rfam family "Bacterial small subunit ribosomal RNA", at positions 28 to 766 of the family's 1533-position model. Lineage: Bacteria; Bacillati; Bacillota; Clostridia; Eubacteriales; Clostridiaceae. The record is from RNAcentral.